This is a long non-coding RNA of Alligator mississippiensis (American alligator), 615 nucleotides long. RefSeq lists it as uncharacterized. The record is from RefSeq and is a predicted model, not a curated record. NCBI's taxonomy places the organism in Eukaryota, Metazoa, Chordata, Crocodylia, Alligatoridae. The transcript is spliced from 3 exons.
CAGGUGGGCAGCAUCAGCAAUCAGCGGGAGCCCUGGGAAACAGGAACAGACUGAGGCAAGUGGAGCUCAGGCAGCAACAGGAAAGGAAGGAUGCAAAGCAGUUGAAUAUUAUGGAUGAUGGGGUGGGGAGAGCAGAGGAGAUAUGGCCAGCAAGGCAAGCGUAGGCACUGGAGAAGGGUUGCAAAGGUGCAGCAGCAGCAAGACACGGUGGUGUAACUCUUACAACUCCAGGGAAGCUAAAACAAGGACCCUUUCUGUCUGGACCCUCAGCAUUUCCAUCCUGUUCCCUGCCUGAGGGUCAACGCGAGCGUGCCGAGCCCCGCGGUCUCUGGAAAGGCUGAAGAGUAGCCAGCGAGGGCCGGCGAGCAAAGGGGGGCCAACCUGGACACACCGACUCCAGCAUGGGGCCUUUUGCCCUGGCAGUCAGGAUUGGGAGCCCAGCUUUCGGUAAGACGUCUUCUUGCUUCUCCUCCUUGCAAAGGUGCCCCCAGCCUUUUGGGGGGGGCAGAUCUGCAGGCAGCAGAGGCUCAGCUGUGUGCUGGGGGGUGGGCGGGUGGAUGUCUUGCCGCUUCCCAGCGGAGGGAGGCCGGAGCCGAUGCAGGUCGCGGGGGUGCG